AUGAACCUAGCUCUCCUCACUAGAUGGCUUUGGCGCAUUGCAAACGGCGAUGGUGGCUUGUGGCUACAGAUCAUUCACCGUAAAUACCUGCGCGAUCAACCCUUUUCCUCUUGCGUUAGGACUGGCGGUUCCCAGUUUUGGCAGUCUGUCGUCUAGCUCCUCCCGGUCCUUCGCAUUGGGACCUCCAUCUCGGUUGGCUCUGGAUCGUCCAUGAUGUUCUGGUUCGACCAUUGGGCCGACAAUCUCCCUUUCGCUGCUAGGUUCCCUAACCUCUUUUCCAUUGCGGUCGAACCUAGGAUCUCCGUCGAGUCGGCCCUUAUUGACUUAGGGCGCCUCGCGUUCCGGAGGCCAUUUGGGCCACCGGAGGUUGCCGCUUGCCACGAGCUCCUUGAUACGGUGGCUCUCCAUGAGCCGAACCUGACGCAGCACCACGAUGACCGCCUGUCCUGGCAUCUCGAGCCCUCUAGACGCUUCUCCAUGAAGUCCUUUUACCGUGCCAUCGCUCCCUCUCCUGGACCGGCUGUCCUCGAAUCUAUAUGGUCCAUCCGCGUGCCCCUCAAAAUUAGAAUCUUCAUGUGGCAAUGGAUCCGUAGCCGGCUCCCCUCUGGCGUGGAGGUGGUGAAGCGCCAAGGUCUGGGUGAUGGUAUCUGCCCCCUAUGUGGGACGGAAGAAACCUCAAAUCACAUCUUCUUCUCGUGCAUGUCCGCCCAGUUUCUUUAG
This 720-nucleotide ribosomal RNA is filed under the name Triticum aestivum (bread wheat). RNAcentral describes it as "partial small subunit ribosomal RNA". Lineage: Eukaryota; Viridiplantae; Streptophyta; Magnoliopsida; Poales; Poaceae. The record is from RNAcentral.